RNAcentral lists this ribosomal RNA (498 nucleotides) under uncultured bacterium. RNAcentral describes it as "partial 16S ribosomal RNA". It matches the Rfam family "Bacterial small subunit ribosomal RNA", at positions 28 to 507 of the family's 1533-position model. The record is from RNAcentral.
GACGAACGCUGGCGGCGUGCCUAAUACAUGCAAGUCGAGCGGACGAUUCGAAAGCUUGCUUUUGAAUCGUUAGCGGCGGACGGGUGAGUAACACGUGGGCAACCUGCCCUGUAGACGGGGAUAACACCGAGAAAUCGGUGCUAAUACCGGAUAACACGAAAUGUCGCAUGACGUUUCGUUGAAAGGCGGCGCAAGCUGCCGCUACAGGAUGGGCCCGCGGCGCAUUAGCUAGUUGGUGAGGUAACGGCUCACCAAGGCGACGAUGCGUAGCCGACCUGAGAGGGUGAUCGGCCACACUGGGACUGAGACACGGCCCAGACUCCUACGGGAGGCAGCAGUAGAGAAUCUUCCGCAAUGGACGAAAGUCUGACGGAGCAACGCCGCGUGAGCGAAGAAGGCCUUCGGGUCGUAAAGCUCUGUUGUUAGGGAAGAACAAGUAACGUAGUAACUGACGUUACUAUGACGGUACCUAACGAGAAAGCCACGGCUAACUACGUG